AAGUGAUGCAUUCAAAUAUGUUGAUGAAGGUGAAAGGCGCAUUCAGAACAAUUUGACCCGCGGACUAACAGAUCGCGGAUCGAAUAUGACCGAUCCACUUGAAAGCUUGCCGCAUAAUCCCCUAAUGUACACUACAAAGCUUCCCUGUGCGGGUUAAUCAGCAAGCUUUCAUGUGGGUGGGCCAUAUUUUGGUUGUGAGUGCGGUCAAAGAGAAGCAGGUUGCAUUCUGUCCUAUAAAUUCACGAGAACAUGAUAUGAGCAGGUAAACACAUUACACUGCUUUCAUUUGGCAGAAGAAGAUGACCGUAUCAGCGGAAUACAAACGUUAUGUGGAAGCUAAAUGCAGAGAUACCUACCACUGCUGACGAGUUUUGAAAGAGAAGAACAGACAGCACGAUGAGAACUUUACUGGAGAUCCACACCAUCUUGCUGCUUCGGUAGAUUUAAUGGAACAACCAGA
Long non-coding RNA from Lingula anatina, 460 nucleotides. Lineage: Eukaryota; Metazoa; Brachiopoda; Lingulata; Lingulida; Lingulidae. The record is from RefSeq and is a predicted model, not a curated record.